CACGUAGGGUGCGAGCGUUGUCCGGAAUUAUUGGGCGUAAAGAGCUCGUAGGCGGUGUGUCGCGUCGGCCGUGAAAACCUGUGGCUUAACUGCGGGCUUGCGGUCGAUACGGGCAUCACUGGAGUUCGGCAGGGGAGACUGGAAUUCCUGGUGUAGCGGUGAAAUGCGCAGAUAUCAGGAGGAACACCGGUGGCGAAGGCGGGUCUCUGGGCCGUAACUGACGCUGAGGAGCGAAAGCGUGGGGAGCGAACAGG
RNAcentral lists this ribosomal RNA (254 nucleotides) under uncultured bacterium. Its description in RNAcentral is "partial 16S ribosomal RNA". It matches the Rfam family "Bacterial small subunit ribosomal RNA", at positions 524 to 776 of the family's 1533-position model. The record is from RNAcentral.